UAUCCGGAUUUAUUGGGUUUAAAGGGAGCGUAGGCGGGUGCUUAAGUCAGUUGUGAAAGUUUGCGGCUCAACCGUAAAAUUGCAGUUGAUACUGGGCGCCUUGAGUGCAGCAUAGGUAGGCGGAAUUCGUGGUGUAGCGGUGAAAUGCUUAGAUAUCACGAAGAACUCCGAUUGCGAAGGCAGCUUACUGGACUGUAACUGACGCUGAUGCUCGAAAGUGUGGGUAUCAAACAGGAUUAGAUACCCUGGUAGUCCACACAGUAAACGAUGAAUACUCGCUGUUGGCGAUACACAGUCAGCAGCCAAGCGAAAGCAUUAAGUAUUCCACCUGGGGAGUACGCCGGCAACGGUGAAACUCAAAGGAAUUGACGGGGGCCCGCACAAGCGGAGGAACAUGUGGUUUAAUUCGAUGAUACGCGAGGAACCUUACCCGGGCUUAAAUUGCAGCGGAAUGUAGUGGAAACAUUACAGCCUUCGGGCCGCUGUGAAGGUGCUGCAUGGUUGUCGUCAGCUCGUGCCGUGAGGUGUCGCUUAAGUGCCAUACGAGCGCACCCUUAUCUAUAGUUACUAUCAGGUCAUGCUGAGGACUCUAUGGAAACUGCCGUCUACGAUGUUAGGAAGGUGGGGA
Molecule: ribosomal RNA, 628 nt
Filed under: uncultured bacterium
Lineage: Bacteria
Description: bacterial SSU rRNA
Rfam family: Bacterial small subunit ribosomal RNA
Source: RNAcentral